UGGGGAAUAUUGGACAAUGGGCGAAAGCCUGAUCCAGCCAUGCCGCGUGUGUGAAGAAGGCCUUUUGGUUGUAAAGUUCUUUCGGUAUUGAGGAAGGUUGAUGUGUUAAUAGCACAUCAAAUUGACGUUAAAUACAGAAGAAGCACCGGCUAACUCCGUGCCAGCAGCCGCGGUAAUACGGAGGGUGCGAGCGUUAAUCGGAAUAACUGGGCGUAAAGGGCACGCAGGCGGUUAUUUAAGUGAGGUGUGAAAGCCCCGGGCUUAACCUGGGAAUUGCAUUUCAGACUGGGUAACUAGAGUACUUUAGGGAGGGGUAGAAUUCCACGUGUAGCGGUGAAAUGCGUAGAGAUGUGGAGGAAUACCGAAGGCGAAGGCAGCCCCUUGGGAAUGUACUGACGCUCAUGUGCGAAAGCGUGGGGAGCAAACAGGAUUAGAUACCCUGGUAGUCCACGCUGUAAACGCUGUCGAUUUGGGGGUUGGGGUUUAACUCUGGCGCCCGUAGCUAACGUGAUAAAUCGACCGCCUGGGGAGUACGGCCGCAAGGUUA
This 547-nucleotide ribosomal RNA is filed under the name uncultured bacterium. RNAcentral's name for it is "bacterial SSU rRNA". It matches the Rfam family "Bacterial small subunit ribosomal RNA", at positions 355 to 896 of the family's 1533-position model. The record is from RNAcentral.